AGUGAACGCUGGCGGUAGGCCUAACACAUGCAAGUCGAACGGCAGCACAGGAGAGCUUGCUCUCUAGGUGGCGAGUGGCGGACGGGUGAGGAAUACAUCGGAAUCUGCCCAGUCGUGGGGGAUAACGUAGGGAAACUUACGCUAAUACCGCAUACGACCUUCGGGUGAAAGAGGGGGAUCGCAAGACCUCUCGCGAUUGGAUGAGCCGAUGUCGGAUUAGCUAGUUAGCGGGGUAAUGGCCCACCAAGGCGACGAUCCGUAGCUGGUCUGAGAGGAUGAUCAGCCACACUGGAACUGAGACACGGUCCAGACUCCUACGGGAGGCAGCAGUGGGGAAUAUUGGACAAUGGGCGCAAGCCUGAUCCAGCCAUACCGCGUGGGUGAAGAAGGCCUUCGGGUUGUAAAGCCCUUUUGUUGGGAAAGAAAUCUUUCAGGCUAAUACCCUGGGAGGAUGACGGUACCCAAAGAAUAAGCACCGGCUAGCUUCGUG
RNAcentral lists this ribosomal RNA (490 nucleotides) under uncultured bacterium. RNAcentral's name for it is "partial 16S ribosomal RNA". It matches the Rfam family "Bacterial small subunit ribosomal RNA", at positions 29 to 507 of the family's 1533-position model. The record is from RNAcentral.